AUUGUUUCCUCUCCUUUCGAGGCUGUAAAAUAAGAUGGUGAUUAAAGGUUAGCGAAAAAAUGAGCACAUUCUAAAGUACAUAUUUGGGACGUUGAAUUGUUUUCAAACAUCCAGCUGAAGGCUGUGAUUUGUUUCAAUGUAUGUAUAGAAACAAUGUAUGCUUCCGUAAAAGCAUUUUUGACCCCUUGAAUCACCAUCUUAUUUUAC
This 207-nucleotide unclassified non-coding RNA is filed under the name Hevea brasiliensis (rubber tree). The record is from RNAcentral. Lineage: Eukaryota; Viridiplantae; Streptophyta; Magnoliopsida; Malpighiales; Euphorbiaceae.